AGAUUAUUUGAAGAACAAGGCCUAGGCGAUUUUGAUGAAAAUUGCUCUUUUUAUUAGCGAAGUUUAACGCACUGUUUUCCGUGUGUUGGACUGGGCUCUUGUUACAGCAGAUGUGCUUUUGUGAGUCCAAAGUUCCCCUGAGGACCACCACCCUUCCCUGAUAGCAGCUUGCCUCCCCCCACAUCAGUGUUCCUAUUCAUCUCUAAAUAAGCAGCUGCAAGGACAUGCAUUCCAGCUCCUCAGAUCCUGUUCCCCACCCAUCCGACACACUUUGCACGUGAAGAUCAAUGGAGCUAAGGGCAGCGUGUAAGGGGAUCCAGGGCCAAGGAGAAGAGCAGAUUUGUUUUAUUUGUUCUGUGGCGCAGCCCCGUUUGAUGUGACCCUCUCCUGUUUCAUUCAUCCGGAAAAUCUGCUGCGUGUGAGUGAAAACUGGGGGAGUGGGUCUCACUUGAUACUCUGGUUUAAUGAGGAAAUGCCAGUCAUGCUAAAGGGACAGUUCAUCCAAAAAAUGCAAAUUCAUCAUUUACUCACCCUCAUGUCAUUGCCAUUCGUUCUUUAUCUGUGGAACAUAAAAAAAGAUACAUGUAUUUUUAGCACAUGCAAAGGAAGUCAAUGACAACCCGAACUGUUUUGUUACCAGCAUUCUUCAGAAUAUCUAAAUAGUUUGUGUUCUGCAUAAUAACCCUUACGAAAAAAGAAGUUAAUUCAAGUGUGCUAUUAGUAUACUUCUUUUAAACUAAAAAUAGAAAAGUAUACUUUCAGUCUACUUUUUAUGUACUUCUCAGAAAUGUGCUUUAUAUACUUAUCAGAAAUAUACUUAAAAUGACAUUUAAGUAUACUUGACUUAGACUUAGAAAAAAUCUAAAUAUAUUUGAGCUGUACUUGUUCUCUGAGAAUCUGUGUUUUCAUUGUUAUACACGAGAGAUGCUAUUACACAUCUUCUGUACAGAAUUUCCAAAACACAAGUGAAGAAGAAACCAAAACAGAUGCUUUCACACUGUAAAAAAUGCAAAUACGUAUUUUCCAUUUUACAAAUCAUUUUGAGUCUCAAAUACUAAAAAAUGCUAUUUUCUUGAAACUAUAUAAAACCCUUGUCAGACCAACAGUAUUACCCCAAACGUUGACCCAACUAGUCAAACACAGUUGUCUGAGCAAAGAAUUUCAUAUUGCUGAAAUUUUAAGGCUUUGUAAGUUCCCAGCAUGCAUUGCAGCAUAAAUAAAUGAUCCAGUUACUGUUAUAGGAUUAUUGUUUUGUUGUUUGCUGACUUCAUUUAAACUUUUUUGUUGUUGUUUUGUCAUUAUUGUUAGUUAUUUGUUGUACUGUGACGUAAAGAGCUCAUCUUUUUAAUAUUUGCUAUUGCCACCGUUCUUGAGGUUUGUGUGUCUAGUUUUGAGGCCUAGAUUCUUUUCAAUCACUUACAUCCAUUUACAUCCACUUAUUUGUUAGUGGGUAAUCUUAAUCUUGUAAAAUGCUUUACAAACAAAGACAAUGUUAUUUACAUAUUAGACUAAGAUAUUCACAAUGCUUUGUAUGUUCAGAUAUUCAUAUAACAAGAUAUAUACAAAUUAAUACCUGAAUAGAGACAUAGUAGUAUACUUAAAGUAUGAUUUAAAGUUUACUUAAAAAAAAAACUUAUGAGUGUACUUGCAGUAUAAAACUGCUAAACUAGUAGUUUAAAGUAUUUAAUUAGUAAACUAUCAGCAUACCUAUUAGUUCACUUUUAGUAUACUUGCAGUACAACAGAUGUAAACUAGCUGUGUGCUCAAAGUUUACUACUGUUAUACUUAAAGUAUACUUAAAAGUAUACUUUUAUAUACUAGAAAGUGGCCCAAUUUAGUCCCAAUGAGUAUUAAAAUAGUACACUUAAAAAUAUACUACUAGUACACUGAUAUUUGUAUACUUACUACAUAAAGUAUACUUUAAAAGUAUACUUGAACUUUACUUAAGUAUACUUAAUAAAAUAAACGUGAAGUGUACUUCUUUUUGAUAAGGGAAAGAAAUUCUAGGUUUGCAACGACAUGAGGGUGAGUAAAUGAUGACAGAAUUUUUUUGGGUGAACUGUGCCUUUAAGAAAUAGCAGUUCACAGCAAAUCGCAGUCAUUGGAGAAGGAAAAGAUAGGAAAUGUUGGUAUAUGUGUGAUCUUAAUUUCAUAUAUGCAUAGACUUCAACUUUAUUAGUAAUUUUCCCUACUCCAACUCUAUGACACUUUUGAUUGUUUUUGCCCCUGACACAGCAACUUUGACUAUGUGACCUUGGGGCACGACUACCUGUUUCUGCUUUGUGAUGUUAAUUUUGCAUAAAUAGCACUGAAAUCUAACACUUUCAAAGUUUCUAUAGAAAUAAACAACUAAAUAAAACAGAGGAUGCAAAAAGAAAAUUAGUUUGGAGGUCCCUGAAAGCAUUGUAGUGCAUUGCUUGUUUAGACGUGACAGAGAUAUGACUGUAAUCCAGUCUUUUGUAAUUAACCUCCGGGCUUUCCUGUGCGCUUCUAAUUACUCCGCAUAAACAAUGUGGGAUCAGUGCUAAUAUGAAAGAGCCCAUUCAGAGGCUUUCAUGUGGGGUUUCUAACGGCCUCUGCAGGCGGGGGAGUGCCGGCUGAUCCGGAGGAGGUGGCGGGGGAGUUUAUA
Labeo rohita (rohu) is the source of this 2629-nucleotide long non-coding RNA. RefSeq lists it as uncharacterized. The transcript has 3 exons. Lineage: Eukaryota; Metazoa; Chordata; Actinopteri; Cypriniformes; Cyprinidae. The record is from RefSeq and is a predicted model, not a curated record.